AACGCGAAGAACCUUACCUACCCUUGACAUCCUAAGAAGGCUGCAGAGAUGUGGCCGUGCCGAAAGGAGCUUAGAGACAGGUGCUGCAUGGCUGUCGUCAGCUCGUGUUGUGAGAUGUUGGGUUAAGUCCCGUAACGAGCGCAACCCUUAUCCUUAGUUGCCAACACGUAAAGGUGGGGACUCUAAGGAGACUGCUGGUGAUGAACCGGAGGAAGGCGGGGACGACGUCAAGUCAUCAUGGCCUUUAUGGGUAGGGCUACACACGUGCUACAAUGGGGCGUACAGAGGGUUGCCAACCUGCGAAGGGGAGCCAAUCCCAGAAAGCGCCUCGUAGUCCGGAUCGGAGUCUGCAACUCGACUCCGUGAAGUCGGAAUCGCUAGUAAUCGCGAAUCAGAACGUCGCGGUGAAUACGUUCCCGGGCCUUGUACACACCGCGUGUCU
This 442-nucleotide ribosomal RNA is filed under the name uncultured bacterium. RNAcentral describes it as "bacterial SSU rRNA". It matches the Rfam family "Bacterial small subunit ribosomal RNA", at positions 958 to 1399 of the family's 1533-position model. The record is from RNAcentral.